This 478-nucleotide ribosomal RNA is filed under the name uncultured bacterium. Its description in RNAcentral is "partial 16S ribosomal RNA". It matches the Rfam family "Bacterial small subunit ribosomal RNA", at positions 28 to 523 of the family's 1533-position model. The record is from RNAcentral.
GACGAACGCUGGCGGCAUGCCUAACACAUGCAAGUCGAGCGAGUAGAUCCCUUCGGGGUGAAGCUAGCGGCGGACGGGUGAGUAACACGUGGGCAACCUGCCUCAUAGAGGGGAAUAGCCUUCCGAAAGGAAGAUUAAUACCGCAUAAGAUUGUAGCUUCGCAUGAAGCAGCAAUUAAAGGAGCAAUCCGCUAUGAGAUGGGCCCGCGGCGCAUUAGCUAGUUGGUGAGGUAACGGCUCACCAAGGCGACGAGGCGUGGCCGACCUGAGAGGGUGAUCGGCCACAUUGGGACUGAGACACGGCCCAGACUCCUACGGGAGGCAGCAGUGGGGAAUAUUGCACAAUGGGGGAAACCCUGAUGCAGCAAUGCCGCGUGAGUGAUGACGGCCUUCGGGUUGUAAAGCUCUGUCUUCGGGGACGAUAAUGACGGUACCCGAGGAGGAAGCCACGGCUAACUACGUGCCAGCCGCCGCAGUAA